GUCAACAGCCAAGUGCCACAGACUUCUUUUUCCCUGAUAGUGAGUGCUAAGCCUGCUACUGAAUGUCUAGGACAACCAAUACCUUCCUGGUGGCAAAGCUAUAGGAAGGAGGAAGCUUUGAAGCAUACAUCAUGGUGUGAAAAAAAAAAUCUCCAUCUGAAGGACUUGUAAGCAGUUACUGGCACAGAUAGACCCCAAUGACCUGAAGUUAGCAUGUUCUAAACCAAUAAAACAUGGAGAUGAAGAUGGAGAGAGCCUCCCUGUCAUUCUGACAACAGUUAGUAUAUCUCUGGAAUGACAGACUAGCUUUGCUGCCCUCCCUUCCCACCCCCAUUCCCUUCCCCGGGCUUUUAGUGAUAGUCACUGUGUAUCUGCUAUCAGUCAUCAGUCCUCUUGCAAUUAAGGUGUCUGAUUUAUCUGGAGAGGCGUAUUAGCACGGAGCCUGCAUACUGGUUAGCUCUUUGAAAGCAAAAGACGACAUCAUGUUUGGAAAUCUGCCUGCUCAUUCAUUUGUUUCUAUAUUGGAGAGUUUUGACCACUUAUCUUCUAAGAAGAGAGACAUGACUGAACUUUUCCACCAAGGAAAUUAAAAAGACAUUUGAAAAUCUACUCAUUAUUGUUAACCAUCAAGGAAAUGCAAAUGAAAACACCAGGAGACUGUACCUCACACCUGUGAGUAGGGCUAUUAUUUUGAAAAGGAACUCUUGUACAGGGUUGGUGGGAAUGCAAAUUAGUAGAGCCAUUCUGGAAUAGCAGUAUGGAGGGAGGUUCCUCCAGAAAGUAAAAUUUAGAACUACCAUACAGUUCAACAAUCCCACGUCUGGGCAUAUAUCUGAAGGAAUUUAGUCAGAACUAUCUGUCCUUCCAUGUUAUUACAGUAUUAGUCACAAUAAUUAAUUCACAGAAUCAAAUGAAGUACUAAUCAAUUAAUGAAUGGGUAAGGAAAAUGUGAUAUGUACAUAAUAUAUUUAUGAGUAUGUGAAUAUUAUAUAUGUAUAUACAUAUAUAUAAUGGAAUACUUUUCAACCUCUUAAAAGAAAGGGAUUUGAUCAUUUUCAAAAACAUGGAUGAAUCCAGGACAUUAUGCUAAAAGUACUAAGCCAGAGGCUCAAAAAAAAAUACUGCAUGACCCUAUGUCUAUGUAGAAUUUCAGGAAGUCAAACUCGUGAAGUAUGGAGUAGAAUUAUGGUUACCAUUACAAAUUCAUUUUUACAGUUGCUUGUUGGAUCCUGAGAUUACAGUCCUAUUCCCCUUCUAACAGCUGCCUGCUGGGGUUAGAGAAAUACACACCUUCUUUGUUUUCCCAUGACUGUACUUAGAUUCCCUUCUGGAGCAUUCCUUAGGUAUUCCUGAAGAUAAAAUUUGCAUCACUUUGGGAUAUUUCUGCUCAGCCAACAUUCACCUCCUUUGCUUCCCAGAGGCUUGAGUGAGUUUAUCCCACCUGCCAGGAAUGCAUUUUUAUAUCUGGAUGACCAACUCUGACAUGUAAGGAGUAACGCACACCACUCCUUGCACCUGCCUUAUUGCACACCUGAUGGGAAUCUCCUUCCUUUUGUGCAGGGCUACAUUGAAAGCAAUGCAUCAGUGGAGACCAAAUGAUGGUUUAUGAUGUUUACAGAGGGAGAGCAGAUGUUCCAUUUAAUACCAGGGCAGAAAACAAUCCCAGGGAAGGCUUAUUUCAAAAGCUGAUCAAGAAAAGGUCAAAUAGGUAACUACCUAUAUAACACUGAAAGCCUUACCAGGCAUUGCUACUUAUUAAUGUUUCUUCUUUGUUGUUGUUAGAAACAUAUUUCAGUUUCCCCAGGAACUACUAAGAGAAUGUCACUGUCUUCUACUUCUGUCUUAUGGCUGGUGGUUGAGAAAUUUGUGGAUUUUUAGUAACAGAGUUUGCAUUAUGAAUGUUGAAAACCAUCACAGAAUCACAAACUAUAUAAAAAAAAGCUUUUGUGGUUUAAUCAGAUUGUUUUUUGACAUGUGGAACUAGGAUCUUGCAGCAUGCAUGGUUCCACUCUUCUUUCCCUAGCCCACAGCAGGCAUAACGAAUGGAUCUCAGCACUCUUCCUCUGGGACUCACAGUUGCUUUCAGCCCAACAAUUCUGGCUGCCAGAAUGUGUCCAUUGCAGUUGGAAAAUCAGAUGAAUCCCAUUUGCCAUUUUUGGGUAAGAAGGUAAGUUCUGUUGUGGUGCCAAUGUUUCUGCAAAAAGGGGCAAUUCUUAAAAGCAGGAAGCAGUUUGAACCAGUGCCACAGGAUGAUAUGAGGGAUACAACUGCAUUUGACAGCGGCAGAGGUUGGAUUCUGUGUGUUUAAAAGCUGUUGUAUAAGCUUGGCCCCUGAUCUGAGUGGACAGAGCAUAGGUGUUUGAAUUUAGAUCUUGAUCUUUCUAUCCCCUUGGUUCUUAGCUGGGCUAAUGUUUAUACUGAGCAUGCCGGUCUCAGGCUGGCUGAUAGACUCCCAGCUGAAUGUGGUUUUUGUUGGACCAUACUUCCUUGAUCUACAGAUCAAAGUUUCUAAUAUGGUUAAAAGCUUUGAAAAUGAAAGAUAACACAUUCAAUACCUUAUACCAUACACAGAUAAAUAAGGCAUGGACUUUACCCCUCUGGUAAGUUGUCAAGUUCAUGGCCUGCCGAGGUAGAAAUGGAAGUAAGAGAGCUGAAGGUCACUACAGAAAUGAAGCAGAUGUAAUAACAUCACAGAUCCCUGCAUAUCAGUUUAUGGGAUGUGGCCCUUCAAAAAUAAUUACAUAAGCAAGAACCCCCCAUGUUGGACAUAUAUAUUUUUUUCCUAGCCCAUUGUUUAUGUUGGGUUGUAUUGCAUUGUGACAGGGCCUGCUGCCCUAACAGAUCCCAUUACCUUUCCUUCCUUCCUUAUUUCUGGAUCCAGAGGCAAAUGAACACCUAUGGCAGGAAAUUGAGCUGGAGACUCAGAGAAGGUGAGCUGCUUGCAGGGGGCACUGUGGAGCAGUGAAUUGAAUGUCUGAGCAGUGAAAUGACACAAGAUAGGUUUUUAAAACCUGGACAGAUCUGAUAGUGAGUUCCAGUUUUACCAGUCCUGAGCUAUGUGGCCUUGGCCAAUUAAUUUCUGUUGUCUUCUAGUUCCUUGUGAAAGAAGGGGGAUAAUCAUAGCCUUUUGGGUUACAUGGGAAUGAAGUCUAGGCUGUUCCAUUUCUGGUACUGGGACACUAUUCUGUCAUGUGUCAAAGGCUGGCCACACUCGCCUCACAGACUUGCCCAAGAGACCAUGGGAGGUGAUGCUGUGCCAGCUGAAUGUGCAUUCUGAAGGGCUGUCUGGAGGAUUGGAGGUCAGUUCUUCAUUCAGCUUUGUGGUGGCUCCAGCCCUGUCUGCUGUCUGGCUGUGGGGCAAGAUGGGGAAGCAUUUGUUUGUCUGGAGAGCACUUCUGGAAGGCUGUGAUGCUGACCAGAGGGAUAAUGGAAGAGAUGGAAUCGCCACUGCAUGCCAGGUGCUAUGCCAGGUGUUUCACACACAGGAUCCCAUUAACUCCCGGAAACCUGGUGGCCAUCCCCAUGGUUAGAGAAGAAAUGCAAUUCUCCAGGCUCAACAGCUCUCCCAUCAGCCCACAGCAACUCAGAGGCAAGCCCAUCACCUCCACCCUGAUCUGUCUGAUGAAGGAGCCUGGACUUUGUGCAGGCUCCAUGAAAUAGUGGCCAAAGAUACAUGGCAGUAUUUAUUAGCCAUGAUUUGUGUGAGUUGCAAUGUGCCCAUUUCUAAAGUAGACCAAUUGCAAGCCAGGAUGUGAAACCCUAG
Molecule: long non-coding RNA, 3763 nt
Organism: Perognathus longimembris pacificus (Pacific pocket mouse)
Lineage: Eukaryota; Metazoa; Chordata; Mammalia; Rodentia; Heteromyidae
Exons: 4
Source: RefSeq, a predicted model, not a curated record